Molecule: ribosomal RNA, 450 nt
Filed under: uncultured bacterium
Lineage: Bacteria
Description: partial 16S ribosomal RNA
Rfam family: Bacterial small subunit ribosomal RNA
Source: RNAcentral
GUGGGGAAUAUUGGACAAUGGGCGAAAGCCUGAUCCAGCCAUACCGCGUGUGUGAAGAAGGUCUUCGGAUUGUAAAGCACUUUAAGUUGGGAGGAAGGGCAGUAAGUUAAUACCUUGCUGUUUUGACGUUACCGACAGAAUAAGCACCGGCUAACUUCGUGCCAGCAGCCGCGGUAAUACGAAGGGUGCAAGCGUUAAUCGGAAUUACUGGGCGUAAAGCGCGCGUAGGUGGUUUUGUAAGUUGGAGGUGAAAUCCCCGGGCUCAACCUGGGAACUGCCUCCAAAACUGCAUGACUAGAGUACGGUAGAGGGUAGUGGAAUUUCCUGUGUAGCGGUGAAAUGCGUAGAUAUAGGAAGGAACACCAGUGGCGAAGGCGACUACCUGGACUGAUACUGACACUGAGGUGCGAAAGCGUGGGGAGCAAACAGGAUUAGAAACCCCGGUAGUCC